This 460-nucleotide ribosomal RNA is filed under the name uncultured bacterium. RNAcentral's name for it is "partial 16S ribosomal RNA". It matches the Rfam family "Bacterial small subunit ribosomal RNA", at positions 338 to 795 of the family's 1533-position model. The record is from RNAcentral.
CCUACGGGUGGCAGCAGUGAGGAAUAUUGGUCAAUGGACGAGAGUCUGAACCAGCCAAGUAGCGUGAAGGAUGACUGCCCUAUGGGUUGUAAACUUCUUUUAUAGGGGAAUAAAAUGUUCCACGUGUGGGAUUUUGUAUGUACCAUAUGAAUAAGGAUCGGCUAACUCCGUGCCAGCAGCCGCGGUAAUACGGAGGAUCCGAGCGUUAUCCGGAUUUAUUGGGGUUAAAGGGAGCGUAGGUGGAUUGUUAAGUCAGUUGUGAAAGUUUGCGGCUCAACCGUAAAAUUGCAGUUGAAACUGGCAGUCUUGCGUACAGUAGCGGUGGGCGGAAUUCGUGGUGUAGCGGUGACCUGCUUAGCUCUCACGCAGAACUCCGAUUGCGUAGGCAGUUCACUGGACUGCACCUGACACUGAGGCUCGAACGUGUGGGUAUCAAACAGGAUUCGAUCCCCCUGUAGUC